UUUUAAGUCUGAUGUGAAAGCCCCCGGCUUAACCGGGGAGGGUCAUUGGAAACGGGAAGACUGGAGUGCAGAAGAGGAGAGUGGAAUUCCGCGUGUAGCGGUGAAAUGCGUAGAUAUGUGGAGGAACACCAGUGGCGAAGGCGACUCUCUGGUCUGUAACUGACGCUGAGGCGCGAAAGCGUGGGGAGCAAACAGGAUUAGAUACCCUGGUAGUCCACGCCGUAAACGAUGAGUGCUAAGUGUUAGGGGGUUUCC
This 255-nucleotide ribosomal RNA is filed under the name Listeria monocytogenes. RNAcentral describes it as "partial 16S ribosomal RNA". It matches the Rfam family "Bacterial small subunit ribosomal RNA", at positions 581 to 835 of the family's 1533-position model. The record is from RNAcentral. Lineage: Bacteria; Bacillati; Bacillota; Bacilli; Caryophanales; Listeriaceae.